GGGCGCACGCGCGCUACACUGACGGAGCCAGCGAGUUAACCUUAGCCGAGAGGUUUGGGAAAUCUUGUGAAACUCCGUCGUGCUGGGGAUAGAGCAUUGUAAUUUUUGCUCUUCAACGAGGAAUUCCUAGUAAGCGCAAGUCAUCAGCUUGCGUUGAUUACGUCCC
RNAcentral lists this ribosomal RNA (166 nucleotides) under [Candida] agrestis. Its description in RNAcentral is "partial 18S rRNA". It matches the Rfam family "Eukaryotic small subunit ribosomal RNA", at positions 1485 to 1653 of the family's 1831-position model. Lineage: Eukaryota; Fungi; Ascomycota; Saccharomycetes; Saccharomycetales. The record is from RNAcentral.